GUAUGUUUGUUACUUGCUUGGUUUUCAUUGCCGUAUGACCUAUUUUGGCCCCCGAGAUGCAUAAAAAUUCAUACUUUAAUUUCAUAAUGCUUUAAAAUUGUCUAUUGUUCCUUCCAACAUCUGUUCCCAUUAUACAGAUUCAAGCCCAAGAGAAGUGAGGCAUGGGAUGCUUUAAUUCAAAGACCUCCUCAGCUGUAAGGUGAACAAAUGAGGGUACAGAAGAGAGAGUUGUUAGAAUCUACAUUGGUACUUUCAAAAAUGUUUCCUUUCUUCCUUCCUAGAUGCUUUCUGCAUUAGCACUGUGCUCCAUUUCUUCAGUCCUAUGCCCUUCCCAAAAUUGGCACUGCAAGACAUGAUACCUUAAAGGCAUCUCCAAAUGAGCAGGUCAGCCUUCUCAUCGAGCCCAGAGGAGAGCUGGACUCUCAGCCCAGGAUGUUCACAAAGCAAAGCAUGAGCAACAUCGCAGGGCCUGCUGUCCUGGUGGGACUGAGAUGGAGAGCCUUACAAGAAGGAUGAAAAGCAACUCAUCAAUUUCCGCAUAAAGGCACAACUGUGCCCAGGCUAGUCAGUUCACAGACCUGCUAGAAGCCCGUGAUGCUGCCUGUAAGCUUCAACACAGAGUUUUCUACUGAUUGCAGCUGCAGGCCUUCUGAAGAAGGGGAUGAAAACAGCCACGCAUAUCGGAGAUGCCAUUUCCUGUUAACUUUGAUGGUCUUGACAUACAAGAAAAUGUGCCGGAUCAGUCACACACUCAGAAGAAAGCUGUGGGGGGAGAUAAACACACCUGUACCUGAUAAUUGCUGACAACGUUCCAUGAAGCAGAAUGGUGUGUUUGGGAACAAAGUGUACCUCAUCGAAAAUCAGGGUUAACCAGCAACAUCUCUGAGUUGAACGGAGGUUCCGACGCGCGCACGCACACACACACACUCACACACACGCGCACACACACACACACACACAACUUCCAUCUUAGUCCGAUCUCUGUGAAUUGAUGCCAUUUAAUCAGAAAGGUGCUUCGGCUCUAGGACACUUCAUUUUAAUUCUGAAUGGGCUACAACAUUAAAACCUCCCACGUCCUGUCCCUCCUUGGACACUCUCUUUCCAAUGUCAGCCAAGUCAAUUGCCACGAAUUUUAAUCCUCUCCACACCACUGCCUUGUCUUUCCUACCCAACAAAAGUCACUGUUAGUUCAGAAAAAGAAUCCCAUAUCCAGGAACAAUUAGAGAAGCAAUCAAUAGUUUUAUGAAUCAGGAA
Homo sapiens (human) is the source of this 1254-nucleotide long non-coding RNA. RefSeq annotates it as CELF2 antisense RNA 4. The transcript has 3 exons. Lineage: Eukaryota; Metazoa; Chordata; Mammalia; Primates; Hominidae. The record is from RefSeq and is a predicted model, not a curated record.